Molecule: ribosomal RNA, 441 nt
Filed under: uncultured bacterium
Lineage: Bacteria
Description: partial 16S ribosomal RNA
Rfam family: Bacterial small subunit ribosomal RNA
Source: RNAcentral
CCUACGGGAGGCUGCAGUGGGGAAUAUUGCACAAUGGGGGAAACCCUGAUGCAGCAACGCCGCGUGAAGGAAGACGGUUUUCGGAUUGUAAACCUCUGUUCAUAGUGAAGAAUAAUGACGGUAGCGAAGGAGCAAGCCACGGCUAACUACGUGCCAGCAGCCGCGGUAAUACGUAGGUGGCAAGCGUUGUCCGGAAUUACUGGGUGGAAAGGGAGCGCAGGCGGGAAGCCAAGUCGGCGGUGAAAUCUACGGGCUUAACUUGUAGACUGCAGUUGAAACUGGUUUUCUUGAGUGAAGUAGAGGUUGGCGGAAUUCCGAGUGUAGCGGUGAAAUGCGUAGAUAUUCGGAGGAACACCGGUGGCGAAGGCGGCCAACUGGGCUGUAACUGACGCUGAGGCUCGAAAGUGUGGGGAGCAAACAGGAUUAGAUACCCGAGUAGUC